AAGACAGAAAGUCCGUUGGAACCGUCGGCUGCUCUCUGGUCUCUGGAGAUGAGGCGGGAGGACUUGGGGACAGCUGUGGGGACACGGCCCAGAUGCUCUGGUCCCAGCAGAAGUGACUGGCGGGGACCAGGAUGCUGGAGGGUCAGCUCGAGGCCGGGUAGCCCAAGGAGGGCACCCACCCAGAAGACCCGUGCCCGGGAGCUGGGGCUGCCAUGGAGAAGACACCUGCAGCAGCCGAGGUCCCCAGGGAGGACAGCAAUGCCGGGGAGAUGCCGUCAUUACAGCAGCAGAUCACCAGCCUCCACCAAGAGCUCGGGAGACAGCAGUCGCUGUGGGCUGAUAUUCACAGAAAACUCCAGAGUCAUAUGGAUGCCUUGAGGAAGCAGAACCGGGAGCUCCGAGAAGAGCUGAGAGGCCUGCAGCGGCAGCAGUGGGAAGCCGGGAAGAAACCCGCAGCGUCCCCACACGCGGGGCGAGAAUCACACACUCUGGCAUUGGAACCUGCUUUUGGAAAAAUUUCACAUCUGUCAGCUGAUGAAGACACAACGCCCAAAUACGCUGGCCGCAAGAGUCAGAGUGCCACUCUCCUGGGACAAAGAUGGUCAUCUAACCACUUAGCUCCUCCAAAGGUGACCCUUCGUGCUUAUCGUCUGUAAAGAGCAGCAGAGCUUCUGUACCCAAACACACACAUCCCAUCAGCUCCUCACCACACAGUUUCACCUCCCUGGGGGAGCAUGGUGCUCCCUGGAGUCCUGCGUUUUUCCAAGGACAUGGGUGCAUGCCUUUCAAACAAGAUCCUAAACCACAGCACUUCCUGCUGUAGGGCAGAUUCCAAGUCCUGCCAGCUGCUUCCCUCUGAGCUCACUCACGGCAGCAAAUGUCUGGCUGGGGCCGAGUGGACUCGGGGGCUUUGUUUCCGUGGGUGCCACCCACGGAGGUGAUAUGUGUGGCGCUCUCGCCACAUGCCAUGGCCCGUGCGUCUGGGGGCUCGCAGCCUCCCACGAUCCCUGCUUCUGCACUGCGGUCUUGCACCUGCUGCUUGUCAGCGUGGACUCCUCUGAACAGGGGCUGUGCCGCUUGCUUGGGGGCCACAGUGCAGGAUGCUAUUUUGUCUCCAACACAUUUUUCCUUGUUAAAAUUAGCUCCUCUUUAGAACCUUCUGCUGGCCAGUGUGUCUCUUCCCAUCCCAGCUUUGUGUCACCCUCACACUCGGGAGGCAAAUCUCGUGAGUCCUGAGCCAGCAACUGAUACUGGGUCGAUGUGGAUGGAGAAGACUGCCCCCCCAACUCCUGAAGAUGAUUUAUCCCCUCGCUUCUUUCCCAAAGCAACUGCUGAGCAGAUAACACUUUAUUCCCUGAAGGAAGAUCAGAAAUCUACUCCAAGCAUUUGUCACAAGUAGGAAAAUAGUCCUUUCAGAUCCUAUGAGUACAAAACAUCGAAAGUCCCAGGACGUACUGCAUAGGUCCAGCCUCCUGUGAGACACGGACUUCUCUCACGCUUCUGCAUUGACCUGAGUUAAUCACACGCGUGCUGGACAAUGUACGAGUAAAUAGAUAACUGAAUGGGUGGCUUAUCCACGCCUCCAAACCCUGAAUUUUUAAGCAGCAGAAAAGGUAGAACAUUAUUUUCAUUAUGCAUUUUUGAAUUGAGUUUCAAGUACUUUAUUUCACUGUUGACUAUUCUACAACGUCAGCCAUACCGUCCCUGAAUUCCUCAAGAGCGUGGCUGUAAAAUGGGGAAUGAGAGCGUGGAUGCCUCAUGUGUCCUUCUGUAGGAAGCGGGGGUAGAAUCCUCUAGAUUCUGUGGCAGCUGGUGUGAUGUGUUGCUCAACAUUUUAAAAUAAUAUGAUGGUUAUUAAUGCAACCACAUUUAUUUUCAGCCAAUGAGUUUAAAGACAGAAAGAAUUAACUCGGGGAAAACACCACCACAGGAAGAUAGAGAGAAAAGUCCUCCCGGGAGACGUCAAGACAGAAGUCCAGCACCCACUGGAAGGCCGACUCCCGGUGCAGAAAGACGGGGGGUGUCUGAAGACGGAAAGGUGACCUCGGAAACCUGGGUCACUCUACACUGGCAGCAUGGAAAAUUCAGAUUCAGAUGAAGUUCCACUUAGGUCUCAUAAGAGUACUCAAUUUGUUAUUCGAAAUAGACCUAGUAAUUUAUUAACCUAAUUAUGUUUCUAUAGAUAAAACUUUGAAUUUCUGCAGACAUGUCUUUAAUGCUAUAAAAGCAAAUAAAUUGAAUUGGGUUUUAAAAAGCAAACAACUUGAAUUGGGUUUUAAAAAUCAAUUACUUUCCCGAGCUCCGUAAUUGGUAUAUUUCUGCAGAGUCUUUAAAAGAAUUGAUCUACCUUGUAGUGCUGAGCUCAGGGCUGUUGGGUGAGCCCUGGGGUCUUGCUGGAAAUUGUGGAUGGCUGAAGAUGGCUUCGUGCUCCCAGCCUUUGGGCUCGAGGCAUUGCCGGCUGCAGGGACCUUGUGACAAGGGGGGCCUCUGACUGUCUUUGCCCCAGAUUAUGCAUCCAUCUUCCCGAAGUCCGCAAAACUCCGGUGGCAGAAAAUCACCAGUGCAGGCUUCCCAGGCCACCACGCUGCAGGAGCAGACGGCAGCAGCCAGAGGAGCUGACAGAAGCUCAUCAGUCUUAGGGAGUUCUGAAGGCGGAUUUCUCAGCCGCGUUCAAGCUGACGAGUUCGCCAGUUCUGCCCCAGACAGUGCAGAGCGGCAGAAAAAUUCUACCCCAAUGGCUCCAAAGAAAUCGUGUUUCCCGACGGGACGGUGGAACAUCUCAAGGAUGGACAGGAAGAGACCUUAUUUCCUGAUGGGACAAUCGUAAGGGUGGAAAGGAACGGCGACAAAACCAUUGUGCUCAGCAACGGGCAGAAAGAAAUCCACACAGCCCGGUUCAAGAGGAGGGAGUACCCGGAUGGCACCGUCAAGACUGUGUAUUGCAGCGGCUGUCAGGAAACCAAGUAUGCCUCCGGGAGGGUUAAGAUCAAAGAUGAAGCUGGAAAUGUCGUCCUGGACGAGAAGCAGAUGAGCCCUCAACACGCAGCAUCACAUGGGAAAUGCCAAUUGCAGAUUUUUGCUAAAACAGACAAAAACUAAUAACAUAUUAGCUGCCCUAAAUGAUCUUGGAGAGCCACCAAAACUUUAGGACUACCCAAGUCAUCUAGAAAUUGCAAAGGAAAAGACAUUCUCUCCCCUAUUUAGGAAACUUGGUUAGAGCAGCACACGUCGGAGAACAGGAGGCUCACAAAAGAACGAUUUUCAGUGCCCCCAGCAAGGCUGCACCCUCCUUGAUCAUCACAGGGGCCAUUUCUGCCUUGUGAUGGACCCAGGAGGUCUCUGCAGAGCAAGUGCCGUUGGACCAGCUGAUUCACAAAGUGCUGAGCCCCUCUUCCCCGUGUGGCCCACCCCAGGCACGGCUCAUUCCUCCAGAAUUAUAGAAGCUCAGCCUGGCCUGCUCCCCUCUGGUCACCGACACCCCUGUCCUCGCUGGGACAAGAGGGAGACAAUUCUAGUCACUACAAGGACACCCAAGGGGUGUCUGAGUCAGGGCUCCAAUAGUGCAGUUAUCGUGGCCUCUCGCAGCCCGGGGAGCACGUCGCCUCUUGAAACUCGAGAUUUCUUAAAUCCCAAUAUAAAAAUGAUAACCAGUUACUUACUUCUUUUGUUGUUUUGCAGGCCACCUAGAAAUACAAAAUGCCAAUUCACCUAAUUUUUAUACUGAAAUGUAGAUGCCCCCAACAUGAUUUUGGAAAGAUAUAAUUUCUUGAAAAUCUUAUCAGAAGAUGCAUAGUUAAUUUUUUUCCAUUAUGUACUCAUGUUUUUAUGAAAUACAAUACCAUAUUUUAGGGCCAGGGAUUAUUUUAACCUUAAAAUUGUGCAUGCAUCAUUGUAGCCCUCAAUAUUUGGUAAUGCUAUUUAAAGUGACUCAAGAAGCAUGUGCUAUCUGGCUUUGAAGGAAAAAAAAAGAAUUCUGCAAUUACAGUGGAUGGAGGCCUUUUCUUUUCAGAUGAAUGCUAAAGCAAUGCAAGGCUGUUUGUCAGGCACAACUGGCAAAACAAAUCCAUUAUUAAAAAGCUACUUUGCAUUUGGCUGAAAGAA
This is a long non-coding RNA of Homo sapiens (human), 4101 nucleotides long. Ensembl annotates it as t-complex 10 like 3 (pseudogene). Its record names the gene TCP10L3. The record is from Ensembl. Lineage: Eukaryota; Metazoa; Chordata; Mammalia; Primates; Hominidae.